RNAcentral lists this long non-coding RNA (4707 nucleotides) under Canis lupus familiaris (dog). RNAcentral's name for it is "lncRNA (ENSCAFG00000053140.1)". Lineage: Eukaryota; Metazoa; Chordata; Mammalia; Carnivora; Canidae. The record is from RNAcentral.
AAUAAUAUUUAUCAGCAGAUAUAACUUUGCCAUCCGAAUACUCGUCAAAGAGUAAGAAACAUCGUGACACGUGAAAUUCUACACGGAGUUCCCUCCUAAUCCUUGGAUUUUUAACAUCAGAUGUUUAAUUCUGAAUGCACAGAAACAUCCACAUACUUCAUUUUUAACGAUAUUUAUUCUGGAACGAGUUUUAUUCAAAAGGCAAAUGAGCAGAGAACAUUCCACUUGCCACCGACACACGGUCAUUACAGAAAAAGCUAAUUCAGUGUUCAGGGAUGGAUAUGCCCACAGAUGUUUCUGCUGUGUUGAUCUGCUUAGGUAGAUAAUCUGGUUGUGGGAGAAAUGUCCCGUGUGAGCGCGAGCUGUCGGCUGUGGCACACAGGACCACUUGCGGAUUUCUCCCCACUACAUUGCAUGGGGAAGCAACCACACAGGAAGUGACCUAGUGGAAGCCUCACGUCUGGUGCUUCCCUGAAUGACAAUGGUCCUCCCAGUCCUCCAGAAGGUGAGGAGCCAGAGGGAGUCCUUUGUUCCCUGCCCCCCACCCCCCACACCCUCUGCCCUGCCUUCCUCCCACCUGCUUCCCAGCUCGUAAAACCUGCAGACUCCCCAGGCCCACCUGGGAGCCCCGGCCUCCGUGGCCCUGUUGCACUUGACCACGCCAGCCAUCAGGCUUCUUGCACUGUCACGCCCUGUGCAUGUCCGCUUCCUACCAGGAGCCCAGCACCGUGCCUGCCACACAGGAACCAACGCACAGACAAGGCCAAGAGGGGGCUGGUCGGAAAUGCCUACAAGCCAGGCAGCGCACAUGGCUGUGCCCAGGCAGACGCUCACACCCAGCGCACCUGCUGGGGACAGCUUCUCCACGCUGGCCCCUCUUUUGUCAUUCCUCUCUGUCCUCUGACCCGCGCUGCAUGCUGCCAGGUGGAAGCAGGAUGUGAGGCUGGACUUGCUUGUCCCCAGACCCUCCUUCUUGUCUCCCUCCUCCUGCACCGUUGCCCUCUUGGCCUCGUCUUCCCCUGCUGCCCCUGUGUCACCUCCACAGUGGCCCCCCGCCCCUGUGGCCCUCCUGUCUGCUCCUGCUCCCUUUGCAGGUGGGUCCCAUGUCCUACAGCAUCCAGGAGCCUGCCCCCCCCCCCCCGCCGUGUCUGCAGAGGCCAGGACCCGCAGUCCCCAAAUGCUUCACAUCUGUUUAACUUUCUGCGUGUCCUUCUUGGUGAGAAAUACCGAAGCGCGGGGAGGAGUGUUGAGGCGCAAGCCUCGUGGCCAGGCUGCAUGUGCGCACACACAGGUGCACACCCGUCACAAUCAGCAUAGGUAUGUGUGCAUGUGCGCGAUUGACAUUCAAAGUCCUGGUAUAAAAUUGCAGUUUUCCUGGCUGCUAUAAAAUGUGCCAGUUUUAAAACUGUGCAUUUGUUGCUUGCAAACUUAUAAAUAUGUAUAAACCCCAUUAUAAAUAAAUUGUGGCUGGCAGAUGGCAUUUUAUCUGCCAGCAGUGAUUGCAUGGAGUUUUAAAUGCUUAUUAAUCCUCCACUUUUAAAACUCAGAGCACAGACUCUGGGCUCCAUGACAUGAGGUGGUGGGAAAACACAGCCAUAGUUUGGCGGGGGGGCGGUGGGGGAAGCCCUCGGCAAGCCAUAGUUUGGCGGGGGACCGCACCUGGUGGUGGUCCUCAAAGUCCACACUUGCCACCAGCAUUGCCCAGUUUACUAGGAAUGCAAAUUCCUGGGCCCUGCACAGACUCCUGGGGUGGGGCCUGUGGGCCCCUUGCAGACCCGCUUAGCCUGCAGGCCCGCUUAGCCUGCAAGCCUGUCCUUCUGCCCAGGAUCCCCGGCUCAGGUGUGCACAGGGCCUGUUCCCCACCCGCGAUGGGCCAGUGGCUAGGCGCUGCUGGGUGAGCACUGACAUGUGCCCGGGCCUGUCUCCUGCUGUCCCUCAGAGCCUUGGUGACCUUAGUCUUCUACAUGGUGGUGACUUGCCCUAUAGGAGUCUGUCUCUGAAGAGCCCCAAACACUUCCUUGUCCAUGUAGGACUCCCGUCUUUAUAUAUUUUGCAAAAAGAAUGAGCAUAAAUGCGAACCCAAUGAGGAGGGAAGAGCUAUGUGUCGUUCUCUACCAGGGGCUGAGCUUUAUACGCGAACUGUAAAGGACCCUAAUAAGUUCUGUGCUCCUAAUUGUCACCACACUCCAGCGGGUCAUCUGGCCUCAGGUGCCCCACUGAAAGGGGCUUCUGCAGCUUCACGAUCCUCUAACACUCCCUUGCUGGUCAUCUUCUGGGGGCCGCCGGCACACCCAGGUUCACAAUACCUUCCUGUAAAGUGGUUUUUCCAAUUCAUCAUUCUCAGGACCCAUUUUUAAAGUUUCACUACAGAGCCAGAUAUUAUCCUAAAACUCAUGACCAAAAUUUGUCUGUGACAUACCGUGACCCAGUGCAGUAUUUCCACAAUCUCCGUCCCCUUUCCAAUCAGCCUAUCACACUGCCCACAGAAAGGCUCAAAUGGACCCCAGGUGUGCUACGUAUGCGGGCGGUGAGAGAACCAUCAUGCCUGUGCAUGCAGCAUCCUGGGAAGCACCUGUCCUUCCUGUUUCUGUCCUUUCGCUGGCACCUCCCGCUCCAUCUCACAGCAGCGGGGUGCAGGAGGCCAGCCACCGCCCAGAGACACCGAGCGACAAGCGGGUGGCCACAUGGCUCUGACAGAGGCCUGUGAUCUCGCAGGAAAUGCCUCCACCUAGGGACCCAUUCAGGCAAAGAAGGACCAGGACAUCAGUUUGUAUGUGUCACUUAUGUGAAGGAGCCACCAGGCAUCAGGCAGCACCUGAAGGGAGCUCUCCAUCUAAGGAGCCCAGGAUGGCCGGAGCCAGGAGGCAGUGGCGAGCAUCGGAGCGCAGGCCCUCGGGGGCCACCCUGACGGCUGCCCUGCCCACUCCUCCCAAGCCAGGCCUUGCCCUUGGCACAGGCUUGGUCUCUCCUGCCUUCAUGGGGCAUCACCCGUGCUGCCUUCCUCCUUAUGACCCCUUGGGACACCAAAUGUCCUGCACCAGGGCUCCUGUCCACCCAGCCUCCCAAACCCCCGAGACAGCGCUAAACAGAUGGUUGUUCAAAUGAAACCCAGGUCACAGCAAAGCGGCCCCUGGGUCCUGUGGCGUCUCAAGUAUGAAAAGCCCAAGAGUGGCGGCUUCUGGGGGGACAGAGUUGGGAUCGGCCGCAAUGGGGAGAUGUUAGGACGUGUCGGCCAUCAGACAUGAGUGCCUCGGGGCCUUGAGCAUCAGAGCUCGCUGGCACCACUGGGAACAGCCCCACGGGGAAUGCCUAGGCUCUCGUGGGGCAAGGACGGCCCUUGAAAAUGCCACUAAUGCACACACGAGGGUGAGGGGGGUGGCGGUGGGGGGUACGGGUCUCCAGGGCCCAUGUUGACCUGCCGUACACUCCCAGCACACCCAGAGGCCUGGGCGGAGAGGCAGGGGCCCCUGGGGAGCAGCAGGCCCAAGGCCACCAUGGGCUCCAGGGGUCCAGGCACAGUGAGCAGUGUACGUAGCCAGGGACUCAGAGGUCCCGGAACACGCAACCCUGCCCUGGCAGAGAUGCAGUCUGACUAGGCAGGGGGGCCCCAGGCUGCGCAGGGUGAGACCCGUCUUAGCCCAGGAAUCCUAGCUGCAGGCACACGGCGGUGCCCGGACACGUGCAGGGGGCACAACAGCUCUGCCCGCCCACUGUGCCUCAGUUUCUCCACCAGCAAGUGAGGCUCCCCAUAGUGCCCAUCACACAGCACUGCGGGGGAGCUGAGGUGACCCCUAAAGCCACACCAUACAUCACAUGGCGGGGGACACGGGCAAGGGAGUGGCAGCCGUCCGCCAGGUCUGCAGGGCGCCCCGGUGGCUACGAAGGAGCACAGUUUCCCAACAGCAAUGCUGUUAUUAUAAGCAAUCCUGGAAUCUGAACUCAAAAGUACACAUUUUGAAUUAAAAUUGAAACAAAAUUUGAUCUCCCCCCAAUAUUUCUAAUUUUCUAAAUGGAUUCUCAUGCAAAGAAACGUGAUCUAUACUGCUUACCACCACUGCGCUAACCAGUGACUUCACAGCAAGAGCUCCCACACCUGCAGACCACUCACUUCUGGCCUCCCUGAGAGGGCAGAGGAGGCAGGUCAAUGUCCCGGGGCUCAGGGUCCCUCACCAGCCUUUCCUACUUCGCCCUUAAACAUUAGCAUUUGGGGUGCGUGCUUAAGAUGCCCUUGCUGGGCCUCGCAGGCCGUUGAGAGGGAAGUUGUUUUAUGCAUUUUUAUAUGUGUGGACACUUGCACACGCGGGUGGGAUGUGUGUGUGUGUGUGUGUGUGUGUGUGUGUGUACAGGGCUGCGGGGCUGCAGGGGAUGGGACACAGGGCAGUUCCCAUAGCUACCCCACCCCCCCGUCUAUAUCACCACAGGGCAGGAACCCCACCAGCUGCUGCCCCAGCCCUGUUCAGCUCCCACUACUUCUGGGUAACAUGGGGCAUGGUGUCUGUGCCAUGGCUGAAACCAGAACUGCUCUAGGAAGAGCUAGGUGGUCCUAGGUUAGUUCGAAUGCACAGUGGAACAUUCUAGAAGCCUAAGCCACUGUCGUCUUAGAUUCCUGGACCCUCGAAGGACAAAAAGUCCUAAGAGGGCUCCACACAAAACCUGUGGACCUGCCCAACCCAUUCCUGCCCAUGAGCUCCACCCCAUCUUCCAUCC